RNAcentral lists this ribosomal RNA (429 nucleotides) under Pseudomonadota bacterium. RNAcentral's name for it is "Proteobacteria bacterium partial 16S ribosomal RNA". It matches the Rfam family "Bacterial small subunit ribosomal RNA", at positions 355 to 776 of the family's 1533-position model. The record is from RNAcentral. Lineage: Bacteria; Pseudomonadati; Pseudomonadota.
UGGGGAAUAUUGGACAAUGGGCGAAAGCCUGAUCCAGCCAUGCCGCGUGUGUGAAGAAGGUCUUCGGAUUGUAAAGCACUUUAAGUUGGGAGGAAGGGCAGUAAGCGAAUACCUUGCUGUUUUGACGUUACCGACAGAAUAAGCACCGGCUAACUCUGUGCCAGCAGCCGCGGUAAUACAGAGGGUGCAAGCGUUAAUCGGAAUUACUGGGCGUAAAGCGCGCGUAGGUGGAUCGUUAAGUUGAAUGUGAAAGCCCCGGGCUCAACCUGGGAGCUGCAUCCAAAGCGGGCGAGCUAGAGUAGGGCAGAGGGUGAUGGAAUUACCUGUGUAGCGGUGAAAUGCGUAGAUAUAGGAAGGAACACCAGUGGCGAAGGCGACCACCUGGGCUAAUACUCACACUGAGGUGCGAAAGCGUGGGGAGCAAACAGG